AGGGUGAAAAGAACAAAGUUUUGUCCAUCUUUGUUCAUCAUAGCCUAAAGUUAGAGAAGAGAAAGGAGAGGAGAAAGCUCUUGAAUGUUCGGUCACUUGAGGAAGAAAAUUGAAGGCAGUUCGUGUGUGGAUCUCGUCAGCAUAUCGUCGCAAACAGGUGUGUAACUAACACCCUCUUUCUUAGUCUGGAUCGGCAAAAGUCGAAAAGCCGAAAUGCCGAAAACCGGUAUUUUGUAGAUUUGCGAGUGUGCGAAUGCUCGUGAGGUAAAUCGAUUAAUGUUUUUGGUAAACUGCAAAAUUUGGACUGCAAAGUGCAUGAUUUCUAUGCCCUCGAUA
Long non-coding RNA from Gossypium arboreum, 336 nucleotides. RefSeq lists it as uncharacterized. NCBI's taxonomy places the organism in Eukaryota, Viridiplantae, Streptophyta, Magnoliopsida, Malvales, Malvaceae. The record is from RefSeq and is a predicted model, not a curated record. The transcript is spliced from 2 exons.